UACAGGGGUGGCAAGCGUUGUUCGGAAUUACUGGGCGUAAAGGGCGCGUAGGCGGCCAUCUAAGUCAGACGUGAAAUCCCCCGGCUUAACCUGGGAACUGCGUCUGAUACUGGACGGCUUGAGUAUGGGAGAGGGAUGUAGAAUUCCAGGUGUAGCGGUGAAAUGCGUAGAUAUCUGGAGGAAUACCGGUGGCGAAGGCGGCAUCCUGGACCAUUACUGACGCUGAUGCGCGAAAGCUAGGGGAGCAAACGGG
Molecule: ribosomal RNA, 253 nt
Filed under: uncultured bacterium
Lineage: Bacteria
Description: partial 16S ribosomal RNA
Rfam family: Bacterial small subunit ribosomal RNA
Source: RNAcentral